This 1521-nucleotide ribosomal RNA is filed under the name Coprothermobacter sp. Dex80-4. Its description in RNAcentral is "bacterial SSU rRNA". It matches the Rfam family "Bacterial small subunit ribosomal RNA". Lineage: Bacteria; Pseudomonadati; Coprothermobacterota; Coprothermobacteria; Coprothermobacterales; Coprothermobacteraceae. The record is from RNAcentral.
AGAGUUUGAUCAUGGCUCAGGACGAACGCUGGCGGCGCGCCUAACACAUGCAAGUCGAGCGAUCGGCCCGCUAUUCUUCGGAAUGGCGGGUACGGAGCGGCGGACGGGUGAGUAACGCGUACCUGACCUACCCUCCAGAGGGGGAUAGCCACGGGAAACCGUGGGUAAUACCCCAUACGCUCCUACUGGGGCCAAGUUAUUAAAAGAUGACUUGGCUAAGGUAGGAGGAAAGCUGAGGCGCUGGAGGAUGGGAGUGCGUCCCAUCAGCUAGUUGGUGAGGUAAUGGCUCACCAAGGCAAAGACGGGUAACCGGCCUGAGAGGGUGGACGGUCACACCGGGACUGAGACACGGCCCGGACUCCUACGGGAGGCAGCAGUGGGGAAUAUUGGGCAAUGGGGGAAACCCUGACCCAGCGACGCCGCGUGGUGGAAGAAGCCCUUCGGGGUGUAAACACCUGUACGGGGGGAAGAGGAAGGACGGUACCCCCGGAGCAAGGGACGGCUAACUACGUGCCAGCAGCCGCGGUAAGACGUAGGUCCCGAGCGUUGUCCGGAAUCACUGGGCGUAAAGGGUCCGUAGGCGGAUUCCUAAGUCCACUCUGAAAGCUGCCUGCUCAACGGGCAGAGGAGGGUGGAAACUGGGAGUCUAGAGGCAGGUAGAGGCAGGUGGAAUUCCCGGUGUAGCGGUGAAAUGCAUAGAUAUCGGGAGGAACGCCAGUGGCGAAGGCGGCCUGCUGGGCCUGACCUGACGCUGAGAGACGAAAGCUAGGGGAGCGAACCGGAUUAGAUACCCGGGUAGUCCUAGCCGUAAACGAUGAUGGYUAGGUGUCGGGGGGUUAGACCCUUCGGUGCCGCAGCAAACGCGAUAAGCCAUCCGCCUGAGGAGUACGGUCGCAAGGCUUGAAACUCAAAGGAAUUGGCGGGGGCCCGCACAAGCGGCGGAGCAUGUGGUUUAAUUCGACGCAACCCGAAGAACCUUACCAGGGCUUGACAUGCUAGGUUAAGCCUGGCCGAAAGGUCGGGGUGGAGGUGGCCUAGCCACCUCACCUAGCACAGGUGUUGCAUGGCUGUCGUCAGCUCGUGUCGUGAGAUGUUGGCUUAAGUGCCGCAACGAGCGCAACCCCUGUCCCUAGUUACUCCUUGGGAGUAAGAGCCCAAGAGGACUCUAGGGAGACCGCUGGCGAAGAGCCAGAGGAAGGGGGGGACGACGUCAAGUCAUCAUGGCCCUUAUGUCCUGGGCUACACACAUGCUACAAUGGAUGGGUACAACGGGAAGCGAAGCCGAAAGGUGGAGCAAAGCCCUAAAAGCCCGCCGUAGUUCGGAUUGUGGGCUGCAACUCGCCCACAUGAAGCCGGAGUCGCUAGUAACCGUGGAUCAGCAAAGCCGCGGUGAAUACGUUCUCGGGCCUUGCACACACCGCCCGUCAAUCCACCCGAAUCAGGGGCACCAGAAGGCUGGUGACCGUUGAGGGCCGGCUGAAGGUGUGUCUGGUGAGGGGGGAUAAGUCGUAACAAGGUAAC